AUUGAACGCUGGCGGCAUGCCUUACACAUGCAAGUCGAACGGCAGCAUGAUCUAGCUUGCUAGAUUGAUGGCGAGUGGCGAACGGGUGAGUAAUACAUCGGAACGUGCCCUGUAGUGGGGGAUAACUAGUCGAAAGAUUAGCUAAUACCGCAUACGACCUGAGGGUGAAAGUGGGGGACCGCAAGGCCUCAUGCUAUAGGAGCGGCCGAUGUCUGAUUAGCUAGUUGGUGAGGUAAAGGCUCACCAAGGCGACGAUCAGUAGCUGGUCUGAGAGGACGAUCAGCCACACUGGGACUGAGACGCGGCCCAGACUCCUACGGGAGGCAGCAGUGGGGAAUUUUGGACAAUGGGCGAAAGCCUGAUCCAGCAAUGCCGCGUGUGUGAAGAAGGCCUUCGGGUUGUAAAGCACUUUUGUCCGGAAAGAAAUGGCUCUGGUUAAUACCUGGGGUCGAUGACGGUACCGGAAGAAUAAGAACCGGCUAACUACGUG
RNAcentral lists this ribosomal RNA (490 nucleotides) under uncultured bacterium. RNAcentral describes it as "partial 16S ribosomal RNA". It matches the Rfam family "Bacterial small subunit ribosomal RNA", at positions 30 to 507 of the family's 1533-position model. The record is from RNAcentral.